This 305-nucleotide ribosomal RNA is filed under the name uncultured bacterium. RNAcentral describes it as "bacterial SSU rRNA". It matches the Rfam family "Bacterial small subunit ribosomal RNA", at positions 334 to 631 of the family's 1533-position model. The record is from RNAcentral.
GACGCCUACGGGACGCAGCAGUGGGGAAUAUUGCACAAUGGGCGCAAGCCUGAUGCAGCCAUGCCGCGUGUAUGAAGAAGGCCUUCGGGUUGUAAAGUACUUUCAGCGGGGAGGAAGGGAGUAAAGUUAAUACCUUUGCUCAUUGACGUUACCCGCAGAAGAAGCACCGGCUAACUCCGUGCCAGCAGCCGCGGUAAUACGGAGGGUGCAAGCGUUAAUCGGAAUUACUGGGCGUAAAGCGCACGCAGGCGGUUUGUUAAGUCUGAUGUGAAAGCCCACGGCUCAACCGUGGAACUGCAUCGGAA